RNAcentral lists this long non-coding RNA (242 nucleotides) under Pelobates cultripes (western spadefoot toad). Lineage: Eukaryota; Metazoa; Chordata; Amphibia; Anura; Pelobatidae. The record is from RNAcentral.
GACCACCAUCUGCUAACAUUUAACAUCUGCAUACUCCAUACCAAAAUCUCACCACCAUCCACUCUCCAACCUCGCAGAAACCUCAACUCUCUCAAUCUCCAGCACCUCUCCACUAAACUCCAAACACUCCUUUUACCUAUCUCAAAUCACAACUGCCCUAACUCUGCAACCUCACUCUACAACUCCACUCUCUCCUCUCAACUUGACAUCAUGGCACUUCCUAUAGUUAAACGCAGCAAGCG